CUUGCUAAUGAAAUUCUUAGUGGCGGACGGGUUAGUAACACGUGAGAAUCCUACCCUUGAGUGGGGAAUAGCCUUUCGAAAGGAAGAUUAAUGCCCCAUAGUCUCUACGGAGUAAAGAUGCCUUCGGGUGUCGCUUAAGGAUGGGCUCGCGGCCUAUCAGCUAGUUGGUGAGGUAAGAGCUCACCAAGGCAACGACGGGUAGCUGGUCUGAGAGGACGAUCAGCAACACUGGAACUGAGACACGGUCCAGACACCUACGGGUGGCAGCAGUCGAGAAUCAUUCACAAUGGACGAAAGUCUGAUGGUGCAACGCCGCGUGGAGGAUGACGGCCCUAGGGUUGUAAACUCCUGUCAUCAGGGAGUAAGACUUAUUCGUUAAUAGCGUGUAAGUUUGAUAGUACCUGAAGAGGAAGGGACGGCUAACUUCGUGCCAGCAGCCGCGGUAAUACGAAGGUCCCAAGCGUUGUUCGGAAUAACUGGGCGUAAAGCGUGUGUAGGCCGCGCGGAAAGUCGGAUGUGAAAGCCCAAG
Molecule: ribosomal RNA, 529 nt
Filed under: uncultured Roseibacillus sp.
Lineage: Bacteria; Pseudomonadati; Verrucomicrobiota; Verrucomicrobiia; Verrucomicrobiales; Verrucomicrobiaceae
Description: bacterial SSU rRNA
Rfam family: Bacterial small subunit ribosomal RNA
Source: RNAcentral